GCCCGCAUAGCCCAGGGGUAGAGCGUAUCAAUAGUAAUGAAUUCAAUUCAUGAUAAGGUCAUCAGUUCAAUUCUGAUUGUGGGCA
Molecule: non-coding RNA, 85 nt
Organism: Lasiosphaeria ovina
Lineage: Eukaryota; Fungi; Ascomycota; Sordariomycetes; Sordariales; Lasiosphaeriaceae
Source: the annotation of a GenBank genome assembly